GUGAUUAAAUCGAGCGUGUCAUUCAUUGACCGCUCACCCUUCUCACCAUCCACAUACACCUGUGCACUGUUUAGCCUGAGCCGGUUUUCCGGUCCAGGUUAUCAUUUCAUACAAACUCUAGUCUUAUGAAUGUAAACGUUUUAAUAACAUAAUA
RNAcentral lists this unclassified non-coding RNA (154 nucleotides) under soil metagenome. Its description in RNAcentral is "partial internal transcribed spacer 1". The record is from RNAcentral.